Molecule: long non-coding RNA, 126 nt
Organism: Pipistrellus kuhlii (Kuhl's pipistrelle)
Lineage: Eukaryota; Metazoa; Chordata; Mammalia; Chiroptera; Vespertilionidae
Exons: 3
Source: RefSeq, a predicted model, not a curated record
AUAGCGCUAAGGCUGAGAGCCAAGUGGAGGAAGAAGUGAAUGCGCAGGCUGAAGCUCAAAAGAAGAAAGAUGAGGCAGAGGUCCAAGUAAACCGCAAGCUGUGCACCGGGGAAGCCACAGGAGCAG